Molecule: ribosomal RNA, 460 nt
Filed under: uncultured bacterium
Lineage: Bacteria
Description: partial 16S ribosomal RNA
Rfam family: Bacterial small subunit ribosomal RNA
Source: RNAcentral
CCUACGGGAGGCAGCAGUGAGGAAUAUUGGUCAAUGGGCGAGAGCCUGAACCAGCCAAGCCGCGUGAAGGAUGACGGCCCUACGGGUUGUAAACUUCUUUUGUCAGGGAGCAAAUGAGUCCACGUGUGGUCUUAGCGAGAGUACCUGAAGAAAAAGCAUCGGCUAACUCCGUGCCAGCAGCCGCGGUAAUACGGGGGAUGCGAGCGUUAUCCGGUUUUAUUGGGUUUACAGGGUGCGUAGGCGGAAUAUCAAGUCAGCGGUAAAAAUUCGGGGCUAAACCCCGUCGUGCCGUUGAAACUGAUGAUCUUGAGUGGGCGAGAGGUAUGCGGAAUGCGUGGUGUAGCGGUGAAAUGCAUAGAUAUCACGCAGAACUCCGAUGGCGAAGGCAGCAUACCGGCGCCCAACUGACGCUGAGGCACGAAAGCGUGGGUAUCGAACAGGAUUAGAUACCCGAGUAGUC